CAUAAGAGAUGGAGAUAUUUUGAAUGAUAGACAUCAUCUCAGUCGAGAAUACUUACAAUAGAGCUUGAUGAUUCCAAGUGCGCUUAGGAAGAGUAAAAUCCCAAACCUAGAUGUUCAGCAUGAAGAAAAAGAUCCGAUCUUUGAUGAACAAAAAUCAUAUCAUUAGAAAAAUAGAAUAGGUUUUAGAUUAAAAUCUUUAAUCAAAGUAUCAAUAUACCUUGACAGAAGCGGAAGAAACUUGAUCAGGAUAGUAGGAAGUAGCUUUGCUAGAGCUGCUGGUGCGGCUCCCUACUUUAUAUGCAUGCCACACUCUGCAGAAAAGGAGGAUGAAGAUCUUGGGGUUUCACCAUUUUAGAAGGGAAGCAAGAGAGCAUGGAGAUCAGGACACACGGGAAGCCAACUUUCUAAAAAGAAUGACAAACCUCUAUCUUCCAUGCCCCUUCUUGUUAAUUUUGUUGCACAAAAUCUGUUCCAACACCCCUUAGUGAUAAGAACUUAAUUCAAACUAAUUCAAAAUCAAAUUUGAGUUUGGUUUUGAAUUAAUUCUUAUCCACAAUUUGAAACCCAAGG
RNAcentral lists this long non-coding RNA (570 nucleotides) under Elaeis guineensis (African oil palm). Its description in RNAcentral is "long non-coding RNA (EGUI_LNC021888)". The record is from RNAcentral. Lineage: Eukaryota; Viridiplantae; Streptophyta; Magnoliopsida; Arecales; Arecaceae.